Long non-coding RNA from Symphalangus syndactylus (siamang), 438 nucleotides. RefSeq lists it as uncharacterized. The record is from RefSeq and is a predicted model, not a curated record. Lineage: Eukaryota; Metazoa; Chordata; Mammalia; Primates; Hylobatidae.
UGGAUGGAUAUUGAGAGCCCAGGAAUAAAAUGCCAGACACACAAAGCAGACCCAAGCAGAUGGAGUUUCACUCUUGUUGCCCAGGCUGGAGUGCAAUGGCACGAUCUCGGCUCACCACAACCUCCGCCUCCUGAGUUCAAGCGAUUCUCCUGCCUCAGCCUCCCGAGUAGCUGUGAUUACAGAAUGUCUUCCCAGCAUUCACCUGCUCCCCCGUGCUUCUGAGUGUGGCUCCUGAACCAGCAGCAGCAGAGGCGCCUGGGAAGUUGUUAGAGACGCCGACUCUCCAUCCCAAAUCUACCCAGUCAGAAACUCCAGGGAUGGAGCCCAGUAGUAGCAAACCCUCCAGGUGAUUCCGAUGGAAAAGAACGUCUGACACCCAUCGGCACGCCCAAGGACAACUCGCUUCAUCGUUCUGAGCCCAGGUUUCUGUUAGGAGAG